Molecule: long non-coding RNA, 860 nt
Filed under: Capra hircus (goat)
Lineage: Eukaryota; Metazoa; Chordata; Mammalia; Artiodactyla; Bovidae
Description: lncRNA (ENSCHIG00010003942.1)
Source: RNAcentral
UCCGGGAAUUGGUGAUAGACAGGGAAGCCUGGAGUGCUGCAGUCCAUGGGACUGCAAAGAGUUGGAUAUGACUGAGCAACUGAACUGUUUUACUGAGUGUAACUAUCUCCUAAAAGCCCUGAGCACUUUCAUUUUUGCAUUUUAGGAAUAGGGGUUAAAAUAUCAUCCAUUGCAUGUGGACAUUGUAAAGAUAAUAUGAAGCAAUGUGUGAGGAGUACGCUACUGCAUGUUAGGCUGAGGGACAGGGAGUUAGGAUGCUCCUGAUUCUAAUGAAUUUGUGAAGAAUUGCCAUACCAAGGCCUGGCCUGACCACCUCCAGAUGUCUUCCACUUGAGAGAUAAACCCUCAAGUGUUUAAAUCAUUAUCAUUUUGAAUUCUUUUUUUUUUCCCCCACUGGGAGCCAAAUCCAAUCCUGAUUUGUUUCGUACAGGCAUAACAGCACAUAUUAUUUGAUGAACAUGCUGGAGAGGAAACAUGAAUCUUUGAGUACGGGGUUGGAGAGGAGCAAUCCUAGCAGUUCCCGACCUGUACCUUUCCAAGUUGGUGUCAUAUGAUCACGAGAGUCUCCCAGAAGCUGAAAUCCUCAGAAAGAACUGCAGCUGGUACUUAGAGUCUUCCAGCCCACAGUGGAAUCUCCCCACCACCUGUCUCCCUUGUUUCUCCCACUCUGUGCACCGUCCCUCUACUUGGAGUCUCCACCGUGUGUGAGAAUUUUGUUGACACUUCUGUAGAAGUCCAUAGAGAGUCUUGGUUCAUACGUGAUAAGUCACUUCUGAGGAUGGCUUUGAGGUGAAACUAGUGGAGCCUGUCUGCUGCUUUUCAGUGAAGAAUUUGGGGCCACCUCUUGAGCAAAGUCUUGU